RNAcentral lists this unclassified non-coding RNA (385 nucleotides) under uncultured bacterium. RNAcentral describes it as "contains 16S-23S intergenic spacer region". The record is from RNAcentral.
UCCGGCUUGACGCCGGCAGUCUCGUCAGAGUCCUCGGCUGAACCCGUUAGCAACUGACGACAGGGGUUUCGCUCGUUGUAGGACUUAACCCGACACUUCACAGCACGAGCUGACGACAGCCAUGCAGCACCUGUGCAUGUUGUACCCUUGCGGGCCUGGCUCCGCUUUCACGGAGUUAAUCCAUGCAUGUCAAACCCAGGUAAGGUUCUUCGCGUUGCCUCGAAUUGAACCACAUGCUCCACCGCUUGUGUGAGCCCCCGUCAAUUCCUUUGAGUUUUAACCUUGCGGCCGUAUUUCCCAGGCGGUGGACUUAACGCUUUCGCUCCGGCUGAGACGGCGGUAAAACCGCCCCAACCCAGUCCACAUCGUUUACGGCCAGGACUAC